Acanthosepion pharaonis is the source of this 113-nucleotide non-coding RNA. Lineage: Eukaryota; Metazoa; Mollusca; Cephalopoda; Sepiida; Sepiidae. The record is from the annotation of a GenBank genome assembly.
UUACGGCCAUAUCAAGUUGAAACGCCAGUUCUCGUACGAUCAUCGAAGUUAAGCAAUGUCGAAUCUCUUCAGUACCCAGAUGGGUGGCCGUUUGGGUAUACAAGGUGCCGUAA